UUGAGCUAUACAUACACAUAUAGAGAACAAGGUAUCUUUGUGUUUAAUCAUUUAUACGUUAUCAAAUAAUAACAAAAUUCAUCAUAUUUGAACAACAACUUUCAAUUCAAUAUAAAAAAAAAUAGUUUAGACAAAAAUGGACUAAAAAAUAUAAAAUAGUAGUAUAAAACAAUAUCAAAAACAUUAUUAGAAAAUAGAAAAUAGAGGAGAUGAUAUACUAGAGAAGAUGAAAAAGAAAGAAUAUAAAAUAUGUGAGGUUAGAGAAUAAAUGUGCGAUACAAAAUAAUUGGAAAAGAGAACAAUAACAUAAAAAUAAAAAGAUGAAAAAGAAAAAAACCAUAAGAGAUGAGGGAUUAAAGUAUAAGAGGCGAUAUGAAGAUGAGAAUAAUGCGUGAUACUUAUAAGAGAGAUUUGAGAAAGCCGAAACUCAAAGCAAACAUUU
RNAcentral lists this long non-coding RNA (442 nucleotides) under Lathyrus oleraceus (garden pea). RNAcentral's name for it is "Pisum sativum (pea) long non-coding RNA (PSAT_LNC024213)". The record is from RNAcentral. Lineage: Eukaryota; Viridiplantae; Streptophyta; Magnoliopsida; Fabales; Fabaceae.